GUUAGCAUUUUUCUUGUAGUAAUAAACAUAUGUAAUACGUACUAUAGUGGUAUAAAGAUAAAAAAAAAAAAAAAAAAAAAAAAAAAAAAAAGCUAUAUAAAUAAACAACUGAAUAGCCAGUUGCAUGACCCCUCUUCUCUUCUCUUUUUUUUUUUUUUUUUUUUUUCUUUUUUAUACCACUGUCCAUACAAUGCAAAAUAACCUUAUUAUAUCAUUGAAUAAUGCUAAAGAUUACUUAAAAAAGAGAAACGAAAAUGGGAACUCUGUUUAUGAUCAUAUAUGUGAAUUGAUCAAUUUUAUUAUUGUAGAAAAGCCAGACAACUGUUAUGAUAAAUUUGAAUUAAUAUCAAAUCAUGUAAAAGAAAAUAAUAAAAUUAAUAAAAAGUCGAAUGUUAAUAACACAUUAUUUAACGAAAUGGAUUGGAAAAAUUAUAAUUUAGAUAAUUAUAUUAUACGUGAAUAUAUAAAAAGGAAAAAACAAUGGCUUCAGAAAAUAAAAUAUUUAAUAGCCAAAAAUUAUAACACUAGCAGUGCUAUAGCUAUUGUUGAUAAUGUAGAAAAACCGUUAAAUUUACCUUUUAUACAAAAUUUUUAUGAACAAGUCAGGCUAAUUAAUUGGGCUGGUUAUCAAAUUGAAAAUGAUCUAAUAUUUUACAUUAACAACUCUAUAAAAAGUAUAUCAAACAAAUAUAAAGAACAUUUAGUUUCUUUAUCAUUUUGGGGCAUAAUAAAAGGGAUAGAAAAUGAUUAUUAUAUUUUGGAAGCAGAAUUAAAAAAUGAAAAUGAUUCGUUUUUUUUAAAAAAAAAAAAAAAGAAGAAAACAGAUUCGCAAUCUGGUAGUAGUGUUAGUGAAAAUGAAGAUGAAGAUGCUUCUCAUGUAAGUGGUGAUGAUGAAACUGAAUGUGACGUUAGUACUAGUGAGAGUGAAAGUGAAAGUGAAAGUGGGGGUGAGGAUGAUAGCGGAAGUGAAAGUAAGAGUAGUGGCGAAAGUGAAAGUAAGAGUAGUAGCGAAAGUGAGAGUAAGAGUAGUAACGAAAGUGAGAGUGAUAGUGGUGGCGAAAGUGGCAAUGAGAGUAGUCAGGGUAGCGGCAGUAACAGCGACAGUAGCAACAAAAAAAAAAAAAAAAAAAGUAAAAAUAAAAAAAUACCUAAACCGUACAUUGAAAAUAAUAUUUAUGAUAAAUUAAAAUAUAAAAAAGAAGAUUAUUACUAUUUUAACUAUCAAAUAAAAAAAUAUAUAUACUGGGUGUCAAUCAACGGAAUCGGAACAUGGCAGAGGUUAAAAAAUACAACGCCUCAUUAUAUUGACAUAUCUAACGGUAUUAAUAAAAUGUUUAUAGGGAAAUUAAAUCAACUAGUAACAUCAUAUCCAAAUAUUGCCAUAAAAGAAAAACAUUAUCUUCGGGCUACCAUUUCAAUCAUUUCGUCACAUACUCAUAUAUCGCCUGAACAGUAUUAUAUUUUCAAAAAAGAUAAAAAUAAACAUAAAAAAGGUAAAAAAAAAAAACACAACAAAAAUGUUGAUUCAGACGAAGAAGAUGACGAAAAUGAGGAUGACGAUGAG
Molecule: long non-coding RNA, 1564 nt
Filed under: Piliocolobus tephrosceles (Ugandan red Colobus)
Lineage: Eukaryota; Metazoa; Chordata; Mammalia; Primates; Cercopithecidae
Description: lncRNA (ENSPTEG00000004686.1)
Source: RNAcentral